GAUGAACGCUGGCGGCGUGCCUAAUACAUGCAAGUCGAGCGAACGGACGAGAAGCUUGCUUCUCUGAUGUUAGCGGCGGACGGGUGAGUAACACGUGGAUAACCUACCUAUAAGACUGGGAUAACUUCGGGAAACCGGAGCUAAUACCGGAUAAUAUUUUGAACCGCAUGGUUCAAAAGUGAAAGACGGUCUUGCUGUCACUUAUAGAUGUAUCCGCGCUGCAUUAGCUAGUUGGUAAGGUAACGGCUUACCAAGGCAACGAUGCAUAGCCGACCUGAGAGGGUGAUCGGCCACACUCGAACUGAGACACGGUAGAGACUCCUACGGGAGGCAGCAGUAGGCAAUCUUGCGCAAUGGGCGAAGGCCAGACGGAACGACGGCGCGUGAGUGAUGAAGGUCAUCGGGUCGUAAGACUCUGUUAUUAGGGAAGAACAUAUGUGUAAGUAACUGUGCACAUCUUGACGGUACCUAAUCAGAAAACCACGGCUAACUACGU
RNAcentral lists this ribosomal RNA (496 nucleotides) under uncultured bacterium. RNAcentral's name for it is "partial 16S ribosomal RNA". It matches the Rfam family "Bacterial small subunit ribosomal RNA", at positions 28 to 506 of the family's 1533-position model. The record is from RNAcentral.